CGACAGGUGUUCGUGUUUGUGUUAAUGUGUUAAUUACACAUUAACACAAACACGAACACCUGUCU
This is a non-coding RNA of Xyrichtys novacula (pearly razorfish), 65 nucleotides long. The record is from the annotation of a GenBank genome assembly. NCBI's taxonomy places the organism in Eukaryota, Metazoa, Chordata, Actinopteri, Labriformes, Labridae.